RNAcentral lists this long non-coding RNA (107 nucleotides) under Corvus moneduloides (New Caledonian crow). RNAcentral's name for it is "lncRNA (ENSCMUG00000017163.1)". The record is from RNAcentral. Lineage: Eukaryota; Metazoa; Chordata; Aves; Passeriformes; Corvidae.
GGAGCUGUCUUCAAUGUCCAGUGUCCUUUUAGAUGGCUGUUCCUUGACCCCCACUUUUGAGUUGACCCAAAAUCACCAGAACCUUGGUCUCUCUGCUCCUCCCAAUC